UUGUUAUUGCUGCAAAACAGGUAUUCUCUUGGCCAAACUCAAGCAGGAGUCAGAGGAUAAAGAAGCCCAUUGAAAAUGUCCAUACUGAUCAGCGCCAGGGCAGGCAACAAGAUGCAGAAUGGGGCCAGGGUACCUGGAUGAUACACAGCACAAGGUCUAAAAUUGAGGAAUCAAGAAAUAGCAAGACGGCCAGGCGCUUUCCUUCUGCAGACUGCCUUUCCUGACAAGAACAGACUCAGACAGUCUGUAGAGUGGUUCCGCCCCGAAGCUGAAAAAUAGUGUACAAAGCUGUCACGAAGUUUCCACUGCACAGCUC
This 316-nucleotide long non-coding RNA is filed under the name Homo sapiens (human). Its description in RNAcentral is "HSALNT0103105". Lineage: Eukaryota; Metazoa; Chordata; Mammalia; Primates; Hominidae. The record is from RNAcentral.